CCCAGAGGCGAAAAAGUGUGUGCGUAACGGCGUAGGGGAAGGCAAGAGGAACAUCUCGCUUCGUCUCAUUAACACCAGCGGGGCUUUUUCUACCGAGCGCUCGUAAAUGCCACUUACUCCGCUCGCUGCCCUCACAUCGACUGACUACAGCUACAAGUCCGACAGCAAACAUCAAACAGAGCCGCGCAACCGUCAUCGCUAUUCUCCACACGUGAAAAAAGAGUGAAAUUCCCCCUUUGCCCCCUUCUCGCCAAGGGACCGUCCCCGCAGUGCACUCUGGGCCAACGAGUACAGUCACUCACUACAAGACGCUACUGGCGACAAGGAGGUGACACAGCGCACUGAGGUGAAUGCUAAAGAGAAGAUAUCAGAUGUAUGCAACAAGUCUUUCCAUUACAUCAACAUACAUGGCAUUCCGAAAUUAUACAAGACAAUUUGCCCGGCUGCCCAAAUACCAGUAUUGAACAGAACAAGGAGCGCACUGACCAGGGUGGAUGGCCGGCCACUCUGCGGUGCAGCCAGCGGUGCGUCUGUGUGGAGUUGGUGGGAGUGAGGAGGUGAAGGAGGAGCAGCGUGCGUGGGCCCAAAGCACAGCUCAGGCUCGCUCUGUGCUGCGUGCUAAUAGGGCUUUUUUCUGCCCCCAGCGGGACAUGGAGAGCUGUCAUUUACAUGGAGAUGCAGAGGAAGAGGAAAUGGCGUUGAUGGGGUGAAGGCUUGAGGUGUCUGGGGAGAGAACAGCCAGAAGGCCCUCUCAGAGCAUGGUACGCGCUCCAUCUGGACACCCGCUCACUGUGAAAACCAGUGUGAAACAUGGAGGGGAGGUGAGAUUAUCAACUCCAAUAUUUAAAAAAACAACCUGUAAUAUCUGAUCUUCAGGAGUUGUAUUAAAGUGGGUGUUUUUGAUUGAAAAUGACACAUUAGAGUCACAGUAAGUAGGCUGUAGGUCUGUGGCUGUCAGCAAAAAUGUAUUUUAUAUAUUUGAUUUUAACUGAAAAAAUUGUUGCUAUUAUAUGGUAUAGUUAUUUUGGAUUAGUUAUGAAAAGAAAUGUGAAGUUUGCAAUCCUGAACAGUAUUUCAUAAUUUUUCUCUUUUAUUUAAUUUUUUUUUAAAUUUAGAUUUAGAUUUUAUGCAUUAGAUAAUAAGUACUGAAACUUAAUUAUUGUUUUAUUACAUGAAAAUAAUUUAUUUUGAUGAUGGGAU
Boleophthalmus pectinirostris (great blue-spotted mudskipper) is the source of this 1200-nucleotide long non-coding RNA. RefSeq lists it as uncharacterized. The record is from RefSeq and is a predicted model, not a curated record. The transcript is spliced from 4 exons. NCBI's taxonomy places the organism in Eukaryota, Metazoa, Chordata, Actinopteri, Gobiiformes, Gobiidae.